ACUUUGACUGCUGCGUACGCACUUAUCUUCCCAGAUUUCAGGGCUGUUGAAGACAUCUGAUCUCAAGACUUUGUGUUCAAUGGAUGGGGGGAAAAAAGGACAGAAACCCUGCAAGACAAUGACAAGUACAAGGUAUUCACCUGCUUCUGAAAACAAAGCCAUUGUGAAAGAGAAAGAUGCCCAUUCUGAAAGAGAAAAAAUGAAAUUGGAACAGCAGCAGAUUGAUGAAGAGAAGAAGAGGUGAGCAAAGUUCUACCAUUCCUUGGCCCAGAAGCAGACUAAAGGCCCUCCAUACAUCCCAACUAUCACUGCCAUAGUUUUGGAGAGAGAAGACAAUGUAAGAACUCUUUGAUCAGUGGACUAUCUGAAUUACCAAGACAAAAUCAGGAUAAUGAGCUAAGACACCAGAAGAUGAAGAAAUUCCCAGUGAAAUCUAACCUCACAAAGACUAUUAUAUUUCUUUUUUGUGUCUGUAUCUUUCCUACUCCUGACUAAAAUGACAAUGAAUGCUUGUUCAGAGUCAUGCAAAAUUCUUAACAAUGGUUUACCUAAUCCUAACAACCUCAUCAGAUGGCCACUGGAAAUACUCCGCUUCAUAGAGGGGUGUGGGGAUCCUGGCACUCCACACCCCGCAUCUGCCAGCUGGCUCGGUGGGUGACAGGCUAAAUUGGUGCAUGCCACUGAAUUUAGCCUCAUGUGAAGAGGUUGUCAGAAACACCAGAAAACCCUCAGACAAAAAAUGACAUGAUCUCAUACCAAUAAUUAAAAAAGCAUUUAAACAAUAAAUAUGGUCUAGGCCCACACUAUGAUGGAGCUGCAUUCACCUGAGUGUGAAUUACCUUCAAUUGGGAAGUUUUAAGGGUAAAUGAUUGUCUGGAGAAUAGAUUUCCCUAACACUGGUGAAACGUCCAUAUAGUGCCCAGCUAAUUUAGCUUUAGAAAAGUGACACAGAUUUUAACUUAGUUAAUAUAAAUACGUUAUCUUAUCCAAUCCAGAUAUGAAUUCUGGAUUUAACAAGCUAACAUACUGUUUUGGGUGAAAGGAAAGGGUAAUAAAAUACUAAAGGUUGAAGAGGAUGAAGCGAUGCUAGAGUUCCUUUAAAGAAAAAUACGACUGCUCUUGUGGCUGUGGAAUAGUCAUGGGAUUGCA
Long non-coding RNA from Anolis carolinensis (green anole), 1149 nucleotides. RefSeq lists it as uncharacterized. The record is from RefSeq and is a predicted model, not a curated record. The transcript is spliced from 3 exons. Lineage: Eukaryota; Metazoa; Chordata; Lepidosauria; Squamata; Anolidae.